Molecule: long non-coding RNA, 988 nt
Organism: Xenopus laevis (African clawed frog)
Lineage: Eukaryota; Metazoa; Chordata; Amphibia; Anura; Pipidae
Exons: 2
Source: RefSeq, a predicted model, not a curated record
UAUGAUAUUGUAACAAAUAAUGUCUCUCUUUAUCCAGUAUAUUUAUCUGUUUCUCUAGCUCAACCCAAACGUUGAUCUUUUGCACUGAAAUUCCUAUUCAGUUCUGUAUGGCUGUGUUACUUAUAGGUCUUCCCUAAAAAGGAUUCACAUUUCUGAAUAAUAAAGUAUCUUCACGGGCAGCGUCUGUUAGCUUUUAAACAAGUGGCCAGUAAAUGAUUCCUGCUGAUUGGUUGUUAUCUAGCUGACUAAAUCUAUAGCAACAGUUGCACCUUUUAUUGCAGAGACCCCAUAUCUGGUUACUCUUCUCUACCUACUAUUUCUCGUAUACAGAGCGAGGACACUGCCUUGUGACGGAACCAUUAAGGGAAAUUUGCAGAAAGAAAACAGCGGUGUUAAUGGUGCCAAGCAGGAGAAUGUAUCCGGGAGCUGAAUCAUCAUCCUACAAAUUCCGAAUCCUUCUCUAUGUGCUCGUUGCUCUGCUAAUUGUUGGCCUUGCGAUCCUGGGGUGGGUCGUUAUGAAGAAAAACGAGCAUAUCGAAGAGUUGGAAAAUCAAGUCCAAACUCUGAGCGCUCAGGUGAGGAAACUCAUUGAGAAGGAGCAGAGACUCACAGAGAUCAUUGAGGUUUAUGAGAGGAAAGUCCAAGAAAUGCAGCCACCAGAGAACGUGGCAAACGUGGGAUCAUCCUCGGAUCCACAGGAGGAAGCAACAAUAUUGAAGAAGGCGUCUAUGUAUAUAUUCAAAUUGUCGAGAAUCUACCGGUGACCUUGGCCUGCAUUUAUAUGGGUUACGGACUUGCCUGGUUCCACCAACAUGAACCAACCACUACGGCCUUUUCUCAACUCACAGAACUGAAAUGAAGCAGAUGUUGCCUCUGAAACUUUAUUUUUAACUUUUAUUCUCCUCUUCAAAGUAAAAUAAAAAAAUACGAGCAAUAAGAAAGCACCAAUUAAAAUCUGCAGUGCACGAGUUGGCUCAGUAAAAUAAGA